Molecule: transfer RNA, 91 nt
Filed under: Gemmatimonadales bacterium
Lineage: Bacteria; Pseudomonadati; Gemmatimonadota; Gemmatimonadia; Gemmatimonadales
Description: tRNA-Ser
Rfam family: tRNA
About the family: Transfer RNA (tRNA) molecules are approximately 80 nucleotides in length.
Source: RNAcentral
GGAGUGGUGGCCGAGAGGCUGAAGGCGACGGUUUGCUAAACCGUUAUAGGGGCGAAAUCCCCUAUCGAGGGUUCGAAUCCCUCCCACUCCG